UUGAGCGAUUUACUUCGGUAAAGAGCGGCGGACGGGUGAGUAACGCGUGGGUAACCUACCCUGUACACACGGAUAACAUACCGAAAGGUAUGCUAAUACGGGAUAAUAUAUUUGAGAGGCAUCUCUUGAAUAUCAAAGGUGGGCCAGUACAGGAUGGACCCGCGUCUGAUUAGCUAGUUGGUAAGGUAACGGCUUACCAAGGCGACGAUCAGUAGCCGACCUGAGAGGGUGAUCGGCCACAUUGGAACUGAGACACGGUCCAAACUCCU
Molecule: ribosomal RNA, 269 nt
Filed under: Clostridioides difficile
Lineage: Bacteria; Bacillati; Bacillota; Clostridia; Peptostreptococcales; Peptostreptococcaceae
Description: partial 16S ribosomal RNA
Rfam family: Bacterial small subunit ribosomal RNA
Source: RNAcentral